Molecule: long non-coding RNA, 770 nt
Organism: Acanthopagrus latus (yellowfin seabream)
Lineage: Eukaryota; Metazoa; Chordata; Actinopteri; Spariformes; Sparidae
Exons: 3
Source: RefSeq, a predicted model, not a curated record
CACAUACAUGCCUUAAUGAUAAGCUGAGCAAAGCUAAGCUAACUGUUUUCUUGCUUUAGCUUAAUGUUAAAUGAAGUGCUACCAAUCUUCUUAGCCAUCAGCCAGAUACCACAUGGAACCCUUACGGUAUCCCUGAAGCAGAUUCGCCCUGCCGCUCCUGCCAGCCGACAACACUGCAGUACGUAAACGCUCGACAAUGGCGGUCCCCUCCAGGGAUUGCUGCUGCAGUCGGGUUGAUAAACAGGAGUGAAGAAUCCGGUUUUUAAAUCCAAAAGUAACACACACACCACAAGCGUGACUGGUGGGGUUCGCACUUCGCCUGCAGUGCUUGCGGCCGCUUCAUCUCUAAUAAGGCCUUUAAUUGCCCUCCAUCAUGGCUUUUUCAUGGACAUGGCCAGCAGCAACAAAGCCGUCUCCCACCAGCGCUCCUCUCCAUCCCGAGCCAAUUAACGAUUCUCCUCCUAGGAUGUCCUGAUCAGGCCGGGCAGAGAGCUGCUCAGCCCAGGUUGACAACUGUUCCCUCUCCCUCCCCUCCCUCCACCCAUCCAUCCCAUGCCGCAUCCUCAGCACUCUCCCUCUCCUCUGCGCCCAACCGCGUGAUUUAAUUUGUUUGGUAAUAUCAGGAUUGGCAUGUUCAGCCCAGCUUCACUCCAAAGUGAAAUUGGACAAGGGCAUUGGAGCCUCACCAUGUAAAACCGCCUCACCUUGACAGCUGCUUGAGUGGGCAGCGGAUUGCAGGAGAGAGUGGAGGGGGGAGGGAGGACAGGAGA